Molecule: ribosomal RNA, 492 nt
Filed under: uncultured bacterium
Lineage: Bacteria
Description: partial 16S ribosomal RNA
Rfam family: Bacterial small subunit ribosomal RNA
Source: RNAcentral
AGUGAACGCUGGCGGUAGGCCUAACACAUGCAAGUCGAACGGCAGCACAGUAAGAGCUUGCUCUUACGGGUGGCGAGUGGCGGACGGGUGAGGAAUACAUCGGAAUCUACUUUUUCGUGGGGGAUAACGUAGGGAAACUUACGCUAAUACCGCAUACGACCUACGGGUGAAAGCAGGGGAUCUUCGGACCUUGCGCGAUUGAAUGAGCCGAUGUCGGAUUAGCUAGUUGGCGGGGUGAAGGCCCACCAAGGCGACGAUCCGUAGCUGGUCUGAGAGGAUGAUCAGCCACACUGGAACUGAGACACGGUCCAGACGCCGACGGGAGGCAGCAGUGGGGAAUAUUGGACAAUGGGCGCAAGCCUGAUCCAGCCAUACCGCGUGGGUGAAGAAGGCCUUCGGGUUGUAAAGCCCUUUUGUUGGGAAAGAAAAGCAGCAGGUUAAUACCCCGCUGUUCUGACGGUACCCAAAGAAUAAGCACCGGCUAACUUCGUG